UCCGUAGGGGGCAAUCGUUGUCCGGAUUUACUGGGUGUAAAGGGCGCGCAGGCGGGAUAAAAAGUCAGUGGUGAAAUCCUACAGCUUAACUGUAGAACUGCCUUUGAUACUUUUAUUCUUGAGUUCGGGAGAGAGAGACGGAAUUCCAGGUGUAGUGGUGAAAUACGUAGAUAUCUGGAAGAACACCAGUUGCGAAGGCGGUCUCUUGGUCCGAUACUGACGCUGAGGCGCGAAAGCGUGGGGAGAAAACAGG
This 253-nucleotide ribosomal RNA is filed under the name uncultured bacterium. RNAcentral describes it as "partial 16S ribosomal RNA". It matches the Rfam family "Bacterial small subunit ribosomal RNA", at positions 524 to 776 of the family's 1533-position model. The record is from RNAcentral.